AAAUGACGGUACCUGACUAAGAAGCCCCGGCUAACUACGUGCCAGCAGCCGCGGUAAUACGUAGGGGGCAAGCGUUAUCCGGAUUUACUGGGUGUAAAGGGAGCGUAGACGGCACGGCAAGCCAGAUGUGAAAGCCCGGGGCUCAACCCCGGGACUGCAUUUGGAACUGCUGAGCUAGAGUGUCGGAGAGGCAAGUGGAAUUCCUAGUGUAGCGGUGAAAUGCGUAGAUAUUAGGAGGAACACCAGUGGCGAAGGCGGCUUGCUGGACGAUGACUGACGUUGAGGCUCGAAAGCGUGGGGAGCAAACAGGAUUAGAUACCCUGGUAGUCCACGCCGUAAACGAUGACUGCUAGGUGUCGGGUGGCAAAGCCAUUCGGUGCCGCAGCUAACGCAAUAAGCAGUCCACCUGGGGAGUACGUUCGCAAGAAUGAAACUCAAA
RNAcentral lists this ribosomal RNA (439 nucleotides) under uncultured bacterium. RNAcentral's name for it is "bacterial SSU rRNA". It matches the Rfam family "Bacterial small subunit ribosomal RNA", at positions 467 to 905 of the family's 1533-position model. The record is from RNAcentral.